UGGGGAAUCUUCCGCAAUGGACGAAAGUCUGACGGAGCAACGCCGCGUGAGUGAAGAAGGCCUUCGGGUUGUAAAGCUCUGUUAUUGGGGACGAAUGUGUUCUAGGUAAAUAAUCUAGAGCAAUGACGGUACCUAAGGAGGAAGCCACGGCUAACUACGUGCCAGCAGCCGCGGUAAUACGUAGGUGGCAAGCGUUGUCCGGAAUUAUUGGGCGUAAAGAGCGCGUAGGCGGGAAAGUAAGUCAGUCUUAAAAGUGCGGGGCUCAACCCCGUGAGGGGAUUGAAACUACUAUUCUUGAGUACCGGAGAGGACAGUGGAAUUCCCAGUGUAGCGGUGAAAUGCGUAGAUAUUGGGAGGAACACCAGUGGCGAAGGCGACUUUCUGGACGGAAACUGACGCUGAGGCGCGAAAGCCAGGGGAGUGAACG
This 427-nucleotide ribosomal RNA is filed under the name uncultured bacterium. Its description in RNAcentral is "bacterial SSU rRNA". It matches the Rfam family "Bacterial small subunit ribosomal RNA", at positions 355 to 774 of the family's 1533-position model. The record is from RNAcentral.